GACGAACGCUGGCGGCGUGCUUAACACAUGCAAGUCGAACGGAAAGGCCCUGCUUUUGUUGGGUGCUCGAGUGGCGAACGGGUGAGUAACACGUGAGUAACCUGCCCUUGACUUUGGGAUAACUUCAGGAAACUGGGGCUAAUACCGGAUAGGAGCUCCUGCUGCAUGGUGGGGGUUGGAAAGUUUCGGCGGUUGGGGAUGGACUCGCGGCUUAUCAGCUUGUUGGUGGGGUAGUUGCUUACCAAGGCUUUGACGGGUAGCCGGCCUGAGAGGGUGACCGGCCACAUUGGGACUGAGAUACGGCCCAGACUCCUACGGGAGGCAGCAGUGGGGAAUAUUGCACAAUGGGCGGAAGCCUGAUGCAGCAACGCCGCGUGCGGGAUGACGGCCUUCGGGUUGUAAACCGCUUUCGCCUGUGACGAAGCGUGAGUGACGGUAAUGGGUAAAGAAGCACCGGCUAACUACGUG
This 468-nucleotide ribosomal RNA is filed under the name uncultured bacterium. Its description in RNAcentral is "partial 16S ribosomal RNA". It matches the Rfam family "Bacterial small subunit ribosomal RNA", at positions 28 to 507 of the family's 1533-position model. The record is from RNAcentral.